GUGGGGAAUUUUGGACAAUGGGCGCAAGCCUGAUCCAGCAAUGCCGCGUGCAGGAAGAAGGCCUUCGGGUUGUAAACUGCUUUUGUACGGAACGAAACGGUCCGGGUUAAUACCCUGGGCUAAUGACGGUACCGUAAGAAUAAGCACCGGCUAACUACGUGCCAGCAGCCGCGGUAAUACGUAGGGUGCAAGCGUUAAUCGGAAUUACUGGGCGUAAAGCGUGCGCAGGCGGUUUUGUAAGACAGGCGUGACAUCCCCGGGCUCAACCUGGGAAUUGCGAUGGUGACUGCAAGGCUGGAGUGCGGCAGAGGGGGAUGGAAUUCCGCGUGUAGCAGUGAAAUGCGUAGAUAUGCGGAGGAACACCGAUGGCGAAGGCAAUCCCCUGGGCCUGCACUGACGCUCAUGCACGAAAGCGUGGGGAGCAAACAGGAUUAGAAACCCCGGUAGUCC
This 450-nucleotide ribosomal RNA is filed under the name uncultured bacterium. RNAcentral describes it as "partial 16S ribosomal RNA". It matches the Rfam family "Bacterial small subunit ribosomal RNA", at positions 354 to 796 of the family's 1533-position model. The record is from RNAcentral.